Nymphaea colorata (pocket water lily) is the source of this 4216-nucleotide long non-coding RNA. RefSeq lists it as uncharacterized. The transcript has 3 exons. Lineage: Eukaryota; Viridiplantae; Streptophyta; Magnoliopsida; Nymphaeales; Nymphaeaceae. The record is from RefSeq and is a predicted model, not a curated record.
CAGCUUCUAAUCACCACCACUGCAGAUUCAGGCGAACUGCACGAGAAUCUGGCGAGUAGCGUCAGACGACUAGCAGGUGACGUUGCAAGGAGCCGUUGGGCGUGCUUUCCCUCUGAGCAUCGCUCGACCAUCGCUGAAUGGGUGGAGUUCCAAUACGACAGCAGAAAGAGCGAGGGAGCAGACAACGUCGAGAGUAAGGCACGCCACCGGCGAGCAGACUUUGCAACGGGCGAACGGCGGAUGGUGGUGUGGGUUCCCGACAACCAGUGUGGAUGACCGGCGAGCUGCAGUUUUAGGCGGCAUAUUCACUUCCCCUGACGAGCGAAGUUCCAACGCAGGCGUGGUGGCUGAUGGCAGCGCGUGGACAGCAGCAGGGCGACCACCAAGCAGCAUUGAGGAUUUUCGAUGAAGGCAUGGGCGAUCGGCGAUCGGCGACCUGCAGACGAGCAAUUGGGCGUGCAACAGCAGGGCAACCACCAGGUGGCGUUGAGAAUUUUUGAUGAAGGCAUGGGUGACCGGCGAUCAGGCUUUGCAGGCGAGCUACAGCAGCCGGCGACCUACAGGUGGUGGUGCAAAUUUCCAACGAAGGCAACAAUCAUUCGGUCAGGUGACGUCUUCCACUCUUCAAUGGGCUUCCACUCUUCAAUGGGCAGCAGCACGCAAGCAAGUUUCGCCCCUUCUAAUUAAACCCCCAUUGACGAAGAAAUGAGCAGCUUUCGAUCAUCUUAAAAACUUACCCCUGCUCUGAAGCAGAGUAUCCCGACAGCUUUGUUCCACCAACGUCCAAACGCCACCAAAGUGCUCAGGUCAGUUCCUCAUUUUCUUGUGGUUCGGACGAACCUAAGCGCGACUGGUGUCGUGACUUCUACUGGCCAGAAUCGUCAGAUCUCCUGCCGCCAGUAUGCUUCCUGCGGAACCCUUCCCUUGUUCGCACGAGGCAGAGAGUUCCUCCUCUAGCGGCUGAUCAUCUGGCUGGCGUUGUAACCUUCGGCAACCAAUUGUUGUGAUAUUUUGUACAAACUACACCGCCGGUGUGUUACGGUUCCAUCGGACUGGAGCUCGAUCGGAAAAGUAGCUGGAGUUGGUCGAAAUAGCAAGUUUUUCGGCCGCCUGUUUCUGCGACUGCGUCCCUGCUACAACAGGAUAUAGCUUUGCUCAACGGGCCAUAUCUUCUGAUCCUAUUGUUAGGUAUUUACAAAGUGGGUUCUCAGUCUUCCUAACUCCCUCAUUGUUCUAAUGAGCCAUAGCACGUGAAGAUCCGAGCAAGGAUUGCAAAAAUCUGUAGAUAUGCAAUGGAGACCCUGUCUUUCAGCAGGUUCAGUCUGUGGGUUCUGCGACAGCUGCAAAAACAGUCCCUGUUCCGUGGCCAUUGCCAUCCAUACCCACCUUGGUUUCACUCUCUCGUUGGUUCCACAACGUGCCUCACUUCUCCACGUUUCCAACAAGCUAUAGCACAUCUAAAUCUGAGCUGUAAGCUGGGAGAAACAAGCUUGUGAACAGAACCUGUCUACCGGUGAUCUCAAACUGUGACGCCUGAGAUAGCCGAGGAUACAUCUUGUUCCAUAGUCAAUGCUGUACAACACAGUGUCUGUUUCAAGCAAUUGACUGCCGUGCAUGAGAGCAGACGUCUUCACGAUUCCAACGAGCCUAAGUGCAUCCAAAUACGAGCUCUGUGGAGGGAGCUCCAGCCCCUGGAAGUUGCUAUUGCGUCCCCUGUUGUGGAGUUGCCUAUUCCACUGCUUUCCUCUCACUAUCUCUCUUGCGACUGCGAGGCUGCGAUCCUCCCUUCCACCGGUGGCAGCUUCCUCUACGUCGGCUGCGAUCGUCUCUUCCGGCGUCAUCACAUUCUUCCUCAACCCUCUUUCCUCGAUUAGCGUGCAAGAGCUGGCCAAACACUAGAUAAACCAUAAAAGUCAAAGGAUGGCAAACAGAACAAAAGGAAAAGAAGUUGUUUCAUAUUCUCCUACAAUAGGUUCUUCAUCUAGUCUGAAUGUGGAUGAAGGUGAUGUUUCAAAGUCUUCUACAAAACUUGGUGAAGCAUAUGCAUCUGAAGAACAACCACUGUGGAAAAAAAUAAAAGCGGUCACUAAAGAUGUAGGCAUGGACGGUGGAAAUGUGCAUUUUGUAUGCAAAUAUUGUGAAGGUAUAUUUGUAGGAUCUUACACAAGAAUUAAGGCACAUAUGUUGAUCAUGGAAUUCGAUGAUGUAAAAAAAUUUCUACAGAAAAAGCUUGAGAGUUCAAGAGGUUGCAAGAUCGUGUUGAUGCAAUCCAUAACAAGAAGAAAACAAGUAUUAUUGUGACAAAUCCUAAGAGUUCUGAUAGAAAAAGAAAGACUAUAGAGACAUGUUUUGAUUCUUGCGGAAGAGCAGAAAUAGAUAAGGUGAUUGCUAUGUUUUUCUAUUAUAGUUGCAUUCCUUUCAAUGUAGCUAGAAAUCCAUAUUGGAAGAAGACUUGUACUAUGCUUGCAACUAGCAAAUUAUCAGGAUAUAUACCUCCCAGUUCAUAAAGGUUGCGCACGCCACUUCUUCAUAAUGAAAAAAAUGAGGCUGAGCAAAGUUUAGAAAGAAAAAAGUUUAAAUGGAACACGACUGGGGUAUCAAUUGUUUCUGAUGGGUGGACAGAUAUUCAAAGACGUCCACUAAUUAAUUUCGUUGUCAUUGCAUGUGAUGAACCAAUAUUUUUGAAGGCAGUUAAUGCACCUGGAGAAUAUAAAGUUGUCAGAUAUUUGAAGCAAUUAUUUGUAGAAGCCAUCAAAGAGGUUGGUCUUGAUAAAGUGGUGCAGAUCAUUACAGACAAUGUUGUUGUAUGCAAAAGUGUUGGACUUAGUUUGAGGUAUGAUUUUUCACAUAUUUAUUGGACUUCAUGUGUUGCACAUACUUUGAAUUUAGCAUUGAAGGACAUAUGCAAUACUAGAAGUCAAGAUACAGAUCCUAAGGGAUAUGAGCUAUCCUCAUGGAUUCAAAAGAUUGAAAAAGAUGCAAGAAAUAUUAGAAAUUUCAUCGUUAGUCACCAACACGCAUUGUCUAUUUUUAGUAGUUAUUUUGAUUUAAGAUUAUUAAAUGUUGUAGAGACACGUUUUUGCUUUAAUAAUUGUCAUGUUAAAAAGAAUUCAAAGAGUGCAAGAUGCACUUAUUCAAAUGGUGUUUAGUAGAGAGUGGAGCUUUUAUCGGGUUGAAGAUGAGGCUAAAGCUCAAAGUAUUUAAAACCUUACUGUUGAAGAUAAAUGGUGGGAUAAAAUUGCAUAUUUUUUGAAUUUUACAGAGUCAAUUUGGUACAUGUUGAGAGCUGUUGGUAAAUGUGAGUCUAUGCUUCAUAAAGUUUACGCAAUGUGGGAGGAUAUGAUUGAACAAAUUCAGUGUAUAGUUUUUAAGAAAGAAAGAAAAUACAUUGUAAUUGAUAAUUCAGAGUUCUUUGAUCGCAUAAGUACAAUAUUAGUUGAAAGAUGGGAUAAAAGCAAUACUUCCUUGCAUUGCAUGGCUCAUUCUUUAAAUCCCAAAUAUUACACUAAAAAAUGGAUUGAAGGAGCUCCUGGACAUGUUACUCCAAAUCUAGAUAAUGAGUUAAACAUUCAAAGAAUGUCAUGUAUGGACGGACUUUUUUCAGAUUCUUAUAUCAGAAGACAAGCUAUUUGUGAAUAUAACAAGUUUUCUUUAAGAGAUUUUAGUUUAGAAGGCACAACAACAGCAAGAGAAGAUGAUGAAAUGACAUGAGUCCUUUUGAUUGGUGGGCAUCUUAUGGAUCAGAAAUGCUUGUGCUUCAUAAACUUGCUUUGAUGUUACUAUCACAACCUGUUACAUCUUCGUGUUGUGAAAGAAAUUUGAGCAUAUACGGUCAUGUACACAACAUUAAAAGGAACAAGCUCACUAGCCAACGUGCAGAGGACUUGGUUUAUGUGCAUUCUAAUUUGCAUCUAAUUUCAAGAAAAGAAAAAAAAUACAGUUGUGGAUCAUCUUAAUAUUGGGAUGUAAAUCCAGAUGAAUUUGAUUUUGAUGGAGAGUGCAAUUUAUAUACUGCAAACAUGGAUUUUUCUGAUCAUGUUAUUCCUUUUGAGGCAUAUGAUGAUGAUGAUAUCAUUGAAAGCAUUGAAGAAAAUCAAGAUAUUGGUGGAAGUGGAAGUGGAACGCAACUCUGAUUGAUGUCAUGAUGUAAUAUGUAUUGAUGUAUAAACUUUGAAGUAUGACUGUAUGAAGUUAGCUAUUGGAAUCGGCAUUUUCA